AUUGAACGCUGGCGGCAGGCUUAACACAUGCAAGUCGAGCGGGGAAAGGUAGCUUGCUACCUGACCUAGCGGCGGACGGGUGAGUAAUGCUUAGGAAUCUGCCUAUUAGUGGGGGACAACAUCUCGAAAGGGAUGCUAAUACCGCAUACGUCCUACGGGAGAAAGCAGGGGACCUUCGGGCCUUGCGCUAAUAGAUGAGCCUAAGUCGGAUUAGCUAGUUGGUGGGGUAAAGGCCUACCAAGGCGACGAUCUGUAGCGGGUCUGAGAGGAUGAUCCGCCACACUGGGACUGAGACACGGCCCAGACUCCUGCGGGAGGCAGCAGUGGGGAAUAUUGGACAAUGGGGGGAACCCUGAUCCAGCCAUGCCGCGUGUGUGAAGAAGGCCUUUUGGUUGUAAAGCACUUUAAGCGAGGAGGAGGCUACCGAGAUUAAUACUCUUGGAUAGUGGACGUUACUCGCAGAAUAAGCACCGGCUAACUCUGUG
Molecule: ribosomal RNA, 485 nt
Filed under: uncultured bacterium
Lineage: Bacteria
Description: partial 16S ribosomal RNA
Rfam family: Bacterial small subunit ribosomal RNA
Source: RNAcentral